This 647-nucleotide small RNA is filed under the name Pongo abelii (Sumatran orangutan). RNAcentral's name for it is "processed transcript". The record is from RNAcentral. Lineage: Eukaryota; Metazoa; Chordata; Mammalia; Primates; Hominidae.
CCAUUGACCCAGACCCCUGUUCCCUGCCGCUGGAUGAGGGCUCCUGCACUGCCUACACCCUGCGCUGGUACCAUCGGGCUGUGACAGGUGGCACAGAGGCCUGUCACCCUUUUGUCUAUGGCGGCUGUGGAGGGAAUGCCAACCGUUUUGGGACCCGUGAGGCCUGCGAACGCCGCUGCCCACCCCGGGUGGCCCAGAGCCAGGGGACAGCCUCAGCUCCCUCCCCUUGGGUGCCUCUGCCUGAGCUUCUCUGGGGAAGGUCAGAUGGCUGACGACCGUUUCCAACCUGUCCUCACCAGGUACUGCCCAGGACUGAGGCCCAGAUGAUGAGCCGAGAUUCAGCGUCCCCUGGAGGAGUCGCGGUCUCAGCAGAACCCCACUGUCCCUCCCCUUGGUGCUAGAGGCUUGUGUGCACGUGAGCGUGCGUGUGCACAUCCAUUAUUUCAGUGACUUGGUCCCGUGGGUCUAGCCUUCCCCCCAGGGACAAACCCCCAUUGUGGCUUCUGCCACCCUGGCAGAUGACUCACUGUGGGGGGUGGCUGUGGGCAGUGAGCGGAUGUGACUGGCGUCUGACCCGCCCCUUGACCCAAGCCUGUGAUGACAUGGUGCUGAUUCUGGGGGGCAUUAAAGCUGCUGUUUUAAAAGGC